Molecule: ribosomal RNA, 536 nt
Filed under: Trigonopterus sp. 805 AR-2022a
Lineage: Eukaryota; Metazoa; Arthropoda; Insecta; Coleoptera; Curculionidae
Description: partial large subunit ribosomal RNA
Rfam family: Archaeal large subunit ribosomal RNA
Source: RNAcentral
GGCUUGUUGUUUAUGAUUUCAAGUCUGGCCUGCCCAAUGAAGAAUUAAAUGGCCGCGGUAUUUUGACCGUGCAAAGGUAGCAUAAUCAUUAGUUUUUUAAUUGAAAGCUUGUAUGAAGGGUCUAAUGAGAAAAUUACUGUCUCUAGAAAAUUUUUAUAGAAUUUUAUUUUUAAGUAAAAAAGCUUAAAUUUAUAUAGAAGACGAGAAGACCCUAUAGAGUUUUAUAGUUGUAUGAAAACUGAAAUUUUAGGUUUAGAAAAUUUAGGGUUUUAGCAACUAUUUUGUUGGGGUGACAGAAAGAUUAGAUAAACUUUUUUUGAAUGGAAACAUUUAUUUGUGAGUUUUUGAUCCUUUAGUUUAGAUUAUAAGAGGAAAUUACCUUAGGGAUAACAGCGUAAUUUUUUUUAGAGUUCUUAUCGAAAAAAAAGAUUGCGACCUCGAUGUUGGAUUAAGAUUUAUUAUUGGUGUAGUAGCUAAUAGGUUAGGUCUGUUCGACCUUUAAAAUCUUACAUGAUCUGAGUUUAAACCGGUGUGAG